UACGGGGGGAGCAAGCGUUGUUCGGAUUUACUGGGCGUAAAGGGCGCGUAGGCGGCCGAUCAAGUCGGGGGUGAAAGCCUGUGGCUCAACCACAGAAUUGCCUUCGAUACUGGUUGGCUUGAGACCGGAAGAGGUAAGUGGAACUGCGAGUGUAGAGGUGAAAUUCGUAGAUAUUCGCAAGAACACCAGUGGCGAAGGCGGCUUACUGGUCCGGUUCUGACGCUGAGGCGCGAAAGCGUGGGGAGCAAACAGG
RNAcentral lists this ribosomal RNA (253 nucleotides) under uncultured bacterium. Its description in RNAcentral is "partial 16S ribosomal RNA". It matches the Rfam family "Bacterial small subunit ribosomal RNA", at positions 524 to 776 of the family's 1533-position model. The record is from RNAcentral.